CAGCUUCCUGCCAGUGCAGAGCCUGGGAGGCAGUGAUCGGGCUCUGUCACUCACCUGGGCGACCCAAAUUGCUUUCUUGACUUCGGCUCUGGCCCAGCCCUGGCCACUGUGGGCAUUUGGUGGAGCAUCUGUGGCCAUUCUGUUCGAGCACUGGAACAGGAGGGAGUGAACACUCUGUGGGCAACUCUUGGCCAAUGGACCCUGGAUCUAGUGAAUAAAAUGCUCCCUUUCUAGCUUUGAUCUAAGUGUCUCCCAAAAUUCAUGUGUUGGAACUCAACUGGCAAUGUGAUGGUUUGAAGAGGCAGGGCCUCUGGGACAUCAUUAAGUCAUAAGGACAGAGCCAUGGUGAGUGGGAUUAAGCCCUUUAUACAAGAAGCUUCGGGGCCGGCACUGUGGUGUAGCAGGUAAAGCUUCCGCCUGCAGUGCUGGCAUCCCAUAUGGGUGCCGGUUCAAGUCCUGGCUGCUCCACUUCCAAUACAGCUCUCUGCUCUGUGGCCUGGGAAAGCAGUAGAAGAUGGCCCAAGUCCUUGGACCCUUGCACCUGAGUGGGAGACCCGGAAGAAGCUCAAUGCUCCUGGCUUUGGAUCAACCCAGCUCCAGCAAUUGCAGUCAUUUGUGGCCAGUUAACCAGCAGAUGGAAAACCUCUCUCUCUCUCUGCCUCUCUGUAACCCUGUAUUUUUAAAUAAGUAAACAAAUCUUAAAGAAAUAAAAGAAGAAGCUUUGCCCA
Non-coding RNA from Oryctolagus cuniculus (rabbit), 728 nucleotides. NCBI's taxonomy places the organism in Eukaryota, Metazoa, Chordata, Mammalia, Lagomorpha, Leporidae. The record is from RefSeq and is a predicted model, not a curated record.